Molecule: ribosomal RNA, 489 nt
Filed under: uncultured Alphaproteobacteria bacterium
Lineage: Bacteria; Pseudomonadati; Pseudomonadota; Alphaproteobacteria
Description: bacterial SSU rRNA
Rfam family: Bacterial small subunit ribosomal RNA
Source: RNAcentral
GGCGGCAGGCCUAACACAUGCAAGUCGAACGCGACCUUCGGGUCGAGUGGCGCACGGGUGAGUAACGCGUGGGAAUCUGCCCUGUGGUACGGAAUAACAUCGGGAAACUGGUGCUAAUACCGUAUAUCCCCUGAGGGGGAAAGAUUUAUCGCCAUGGGAGGAGCCCGCGUAGGAUUAGCUAGCUGGUGAGGCAACGGCUCACCAAGGCGACGAUCCUUAGCUGGUCUGAGAGGAUGAUCAGCCACACUGGGACUGAGAUACGGCCCAGACUCCUACGGGAGGCAGCAGUGGGGAAUAUUGGACAAUGGGGGAAACCCUGAUCCAGCCAUGCCGCGUGUGUGAUGAAGGCCUUCGGGUUGUAAAGCACUUUCGCACGUGACGAUGAUGACGGUAACGUGAGAAGAAGCCCCGGCUAACUUCGUGCCAGCAGCCGCGGUAAUACGAAGGGGGCAAGCGUUGUUCGGAAUUACUGGGCGUAAAGGGCGCGUA